RNAcentral lists this non-coding RNA (28 nucleotides) under Cricetulus griseus (Chinese hamster). Lineage: Eukaryota; Metazoa; Chordata; Mammalia; Rodentia; Cricetidae. The record is from RNAcentral.
AAACAUCCCUGCAAAGAGCAACGAACAG